AGUGAACGCUGGCGGUAGGCCUAACACAUGCAAGUCGAACGGCAGCACAGUAAGAGCUUGCUCUUACGGGUGGCGAGUGGCGGACGGGUGAGGAAUACAUCGGAAUCUACUUUUUCGUGGGGGAUAACGUAGGGAAACUUACGCUAAUACCGCAUACGACCUACGGGUGAAAGCAGGGGAUCUUCGGACCUUGCGCGAUUGAAUGAGCCGCUGUCGGAUUAGCUAGUUGGCGGGGUAAAGGCCCACCAAGGCGACGAUCCGUAGCUGGUCUGAGAGGCUGAUCAGCCACACUGGAACGGAGACACGGUCCAGACUCCUACGGGAGGCAGCAGUGGGGAAUAUUGGACAAUGGGCGCAAGCCUGAUCCAGCCAUACCGCGUGGGUGAAGAAGGCCUUCGGGUUGUAAAGCCCUUUUGUUGGGAAAGAAAAGCAGCAGGUUAAUACCCCGCUGUUCUGACGGUACCCAAAGAAUAAGCACCGGCUAACUUCGUG
This 492-nucleotide ribosomal RNA is filed under the name uncultured bacterium. RNAcentral's name for it is "partial 16S ribosomal RNA". It matches the Rfam family "Bacterial small subunit ribosomal RNA", at positions 29 to 507 of the family's 1533-position model. The record is from RNAcentral.